GUGUCAGCCGCCGCGGUAAUACGAAGGGGGCUAGCGUUGCUCGGAAUCACUGGGCGUAAAGGGCGCGUAGGCGGCUGAUCAAGUCGGGGGUGAAAUCCCAGGGCUCAACCCUGGAAUUGCCUUCGAUACUGGUCGGCUAGAGAGUGGAAGAGGUAAGUGGAACUCCGAGUGUAGAGGUGAAAUUCGUAGAUAUUCGGAAGAACACCAGUGGCGAAGGCGGCUUACUGGUCCAUUUCUGACGCUGAGGCGCGAAAGCGUGGGGAGCAAACAGGAUUAGAUACCCUGGUAGUCC
This 292-nucleotide ribosomal RNA is filed under the name uncultured bacterium. RNAcentral describes it as "partial 16S ribosomal RNA". It matches the Rfam family "Bacterial small subunit ribosomal RNA", at positions 505 to 796 of the family's 1533-position model. The record is from RNAcentral.